This 337-nucleotide long non-coding RNA is filed under the name Malus domestica (apple). RNAcentral's name for it is "long non-coding RNA (MDOM_LNC014321)". Lineage: Eukaryota; Viridiplantae; Streptophyta; Magnoliopsida; Rosales; Rosaceae. The record is from RNAcentral.
ACGAGCCUAAACUGCACGAACCAAAGCUCAUUGUCCGCACGAGCCUAAACUGUAGGACACGAGGCUCCUCGCCUGCACGAGCCUAAACUACAUGGCACAACGCUCCCGAUCCGCAAGAGCAUAAAAGGCGACAUCAACGCUCCUGAUCCGCACGAGCAUAAAAGGCAACACCAAAUGCUCCUUGUCUGCACGAGUUGAAACUGCAUACGACACCAAAAGCUCCUUGUCUGCACGAGUUGAAACUGCAAACGACACCAAAUGCUCCUUGUCUGCACGAGUUGAAACUGCAAACGACACCAAAUGCUCUUUGUCUGCACGAGUUGAAACUGCAAACGAC